Molecule: ribosomal RNA, 111 nt
Filed under: Neogale vison (American mink)
Lineage: Eukaryota; Metazoa; Chordata; Mammalia; Carnivora; Mustelidae
Source: RNAcentral
GUCUCUGGCCAGACCACCCUGAACACGCCUGAUCUUGUCUGAUCUCAAAAGCUAAGCAGGGUUGGGCCUGGUUAGUACUUGGAUGGGAGAAGAUGACAGUAAGCAAAAACC